This 468-nucleotide ribosomal RNA is filed under the name uncultured bacterium. RNAcentral describes it as "partial 16S ribosomal RNA". It matches the Rfam family "Bacterial small subunit ribosomal RNA", at positions 28 to 507 of the family's 1533-position model. The record is from RNAcentral.
GACGAACGCUGGCGGCGUGCUUAACACAUGCAAGUCGAACGGAAAGGCCCUGCUUUUGUGGGGUGCUCGAGUGGCGAACGGGUGAGUAACACGUGAGUAACCUCCCCUUGACUUUGGGAUAACUUCAGGAAACUGGGGCUAAUACCGGAUAGGAGCUCCUGCUGCAUGGUGGGGGUUGGAAAGUUUCGGCGGUGGGGGAUGGACUCGCGGCUUAUCAGCUUGUUGGUGGGGUAGUGGCUUACCAAGGCUUUGACGGGUAGCCGGCCUGAGAGGGUGACCGGCCACAUUGGGACUGAGAUACGGCCCAGACUCCUACGGGAGGCAGCAGUGGGGAAUAUUGCACAAUGGGCGGAAGCCUGAUGCAGCAACGCCGCGUGCGGGAUGACGGCCUUCGGGUUGUAAACCGCUUUCGCCUGUGACGAAGCGUGAGUGACGGUAAUGGGUAAAGAAGCACCGGCUAACUACGUG